UUAAGUGAUUAAGCGUACAAGGUGGAUGCCUUGGCAAUCAGAGGCGAAGAAGGACGUGCUAAUCUGCGAAAAGCUUGGAUGAGUCGAUAAGAGGCGUUUAAUCCAAGAUAUCCGAAUGGGGAAACCCAGUAGAUGAAGAAUCUACUAUCAACAAGUGAAUUCAUAGCUUGUUGAGGCAAACCGGGAGAACUGAAACAUCUAAGUACCCCGAGGAAAAGAAAUCAACCGAGAUUUCGUCAGUAGCGGCGAGCGAAAGCGAAAGAGCCAGUAAGUGAUAGCAGUAUAGUGAGGAGAAUGUGUUGGGAAGCACAAUCAAAGAGGGUGAUAAUCCCGUAUCUAAAAACCAUAUUGUGGUACUAAGCUAACGAGAAGUAGGGCGGGACACGUGAUAUCCUGUUUGAAGAAGGGGGGACCAUCCUCCAAGGCUAAAUACUCCUGAUUGACCGAUAGUGAACCAGUACUGUGAAGGAAAGGCGAAAAGAACCCCGGUGAGGGGAGUGAAAUAGAACCUGAAACCUUGUACGUACAAGCAGUGGGAGCCCCAUCACUUAAUCCGAUUGGAAGGUGAUGAAAAGCAACCGCACUUAAACAAUGGUAAGAGGAGCGAAGCGAGUCAAACCACCCAAAAGAAGCAGUGGGAUUAAGUGAUGGGGUGACUGCGUACCUUUUGUAUAAUGGGUCAGCGACUUAUAUUUUGUAGCGAGGUUAACCGAAUAGGGGAGCCGAAGGGAAACCGAGUCUUAACUGGGCGAAUAGUUGCAAGGUAUAGACCCGAAACCCGGUGAUCUAGCCAUGGGCAGGUUGAAGGUUGGGUAACACUAACUGGAGGACCGAACCGACUAAUGUUGAAAAAUUAGCGGAUGACUUGUGGCUGGGGGUGAAAGGCCAAUCAAACCGGGAGAUAGCUGGUUCUCCCCGAAAUCUAUUUAGGUAGAGCCUUGAGGUGACACCUUUGGGGGUAGAGCACUGUUUCGGCUAGGGGGCCAUCCCGGCUUACCAACCCGAUGCAAACUACGAAUACCAAAGAGUGAUACUCAGGAGACACACGGCGGGUGCUAACGUCCGUCGUGGAGAGGGAAACAACCCAGACCGCCAGCUAAGGUCCCCAAGUCUAUAUUAAGUGGGAAACGAAGUGGGAAGGCUUAGACAGCUAGGAUGUUGGCUUAGAAGCAGCCAUCAUUUAAAGAAAGCGUAAUAGCUCACUAGUCGAGUCGGCCUGCGCGGAAGAUGUAACGGGGCUGAAAUAUAGCACCGAAGCUGCGGCAUCAGAAUUUAUUCUGUUGGGUAGGGGAGCGUUGUGUAAGCGGAAGAAGGUUCAUCGAGAGGUGGGCUGGACGUAUCACAAGUGCGAAUGCUGACAUAAGUAACGAUAAAACGGGUGAAAAACCCGUUCGCCGGAAGACCAAGGGUUCCUGUCCAACGUUAAUCGGGGCAGGGUGAGUCGGCUCCUAAGGCGAGGCUGAAAAGCGUAGUCGAUGGGAAACAGGUUAAUAUUCCUGUACUUGGUAAAGCUGCGAUGUGGGGACGGAGUAGGUUAGGUUAUCGCACUGUUGGAUAUGUGCGUUUAAGUUGGUAGGUGGGAAGUUUAGGCAAAUCCGGGCUUCCUUAACACAGAGAGAUGAUGACGAGGCUCUACGGAGCUGAAGUAACUGAUACCACACUUCCAGGAAAAGCCACUAAGCGAAAGGCUUUACUAAACCGUACUGAAAACCGACACAGGUGGUCAGGUAGAGAAUACUCAGGCGCUUGAGAGAACUCGGGUGAAGGAACUAGGCAAAAUAGCACCGUAACUUCGGGAGAAGGUGCGCCGGCGUAGAUUGUAAGGGCUAGCCCCUGAAGGUUGAACCGGUCGAAGAUACCAGCUGGCUGCAACUGUUUAUUAAAAACACAGCACUCUGCAAACACGAAAGUGGACGUAUAGGGUGUGAUGCCUGCCCGGUGCUGGAAGGUUAAUUGAUGGUGUAAUCGCAAGAGAAGCACCUGAUCGAAGCCCCAGUAAACGGCGGCCGUAACUAUAACGGUCCUAAGGUAGCGAAAUUCCUUGUCGGGUAAGUUCCGACCUGCACGAAUGGCAUAAUGAUGGCCAGGCUGUCUCCACCCGAGACUCAGUGAAAUUGAAAUCGCCGUGAAGAUGCGGUGUACCCGCGGCUAGACGGAAAGACCCCGUGAACCUUUACUAUAGCUUGACACUGAACAUUGAAUUUUGAUGUGUAGGAUAGGUGGGAGCCUUUGAAGCAGUGACGCCAGUCAUUGUGGAGGCGACCUUGAAAUACCACCCUUUAACGUUUGAUGUUCUAACGAAGAUGACGAAACGUGGUCUCGGACAGUGUCUGGUGGGUAGUUUGACUGGGGCGGUCUCCUCCCAAAGCGUAACGGAGGAGCACGAAGGUUUGCUAAUCACGGUCGGACAUCGUGAGGUUAGUGCAAUGGUAUAAGCAAGCUUAACUGCGAGACAGACAAGUCGAGCAGGUACGAAAGUAGGUCAUAGUGAUCCGGUGGUUCUGAAUGGAAGGGCCAUCGCUCAACGGAUAAAAGGUACUCCGGGGAUAACAGGCUGAUACCGCCCAAGAGUUCAUAUCGACGGCGGUGUUUGGCACCUCGAUGUCGGCUCAUCACAUCCUGGGGCUGAAGUAGGUCCCAAGGGUAUGGCUGUUCGCCAUUUAAAGUGGUACGCGAGCUGGGUUUAGAACGUCGUGAGACAGUUCGGUCCCUAUCUGCCGUGGGCGUAGGAGAAUUGGUUGGGGCUGCUCCUAGUACGAGAGGACCGGAGUGGACGCACCACUGGUGUUCCGGUUGUGUCGCCAGACGCAUUGCCGGGUAGCUAAGUGCGGAAGAGAUAAGUGCUGAAAGCAUCUAAGCACGAAACUUGCCAAGAGAUGAGUUCUCCCAAUCAAAGAGAUUGUAAGGGUUGUUGUAGACUACGACGUAGAUAGGUCUGGUGUGUAAGUGUAGUGAUACAUUGAGCUAACAGAUACUAAUUGCCCGAGAGGCUUAACU
This 2997-nucleotide ribosomal RNA is filed under the name Haemophilus influenzae. RNAcentral describes it as "23S ribosomal RNA". It matches the Rfam family "Bacterial large subunit ribosomal RNA". The record is from RNAcentral. Lineage: Bacteria; Pseudomonadati; Pseudomonadota; Gammaproteobacteria; Pasteurellales; Pasteurellaceae.